UGCAGCCUGCAACUCGGCUGCAUGAAGCUGGAAUCGCUAGUAAUCGCAGAUCAGAAUGCUGCGGUGAAUACGUUCCCGGGUCUUGUACACACCGCCCGUCACACCAUGGGAGUUGGAAAUGCCCGAAGUCAGUGACCGAACCGAAAGGAAGGAGCUGCCGAAGGUGGAGCCGAUGACUGGGGUGAAGUCGUAACAAGGUACC
RNAcentral lists this ribosomal RNA (202 nucleotides) under uncultured bacterium. RNAcentral describes it as "partial 16S ribosomal RNA". It matches the Rfam family "Bacterial small subunit ribosomal RNA", at positions 1299 to 1500 of the family's 1533-position model. The record is from RNAcentral.